AAUGAAGUUUCUCAGCAGACUAAACCAAUCUAAACCAGCUUUACCAUGAUCCUCCCUCCCUUUCUCUGGUGUUCUCCAUUCCUCUUAUGCUGGCACUGAUGAUUCCCAGUGACUCAAAGCUGGUUCAGAGGACUUAACAGAAAUCUAUUAGGGCUCUCCAUAGAGUUUCAGAGCUAGCACAAGAGAGGGGGUGGAGGAUCCAAAGCAAAAUAUUAAAUUGUGAUUAUGUCUGUGCUCAGACUGGCUUAAUUGGUCACAGAAUUGAAACUUGAGGGUAUGGCAAACACUAACAUGGGGGACACAAGCUGCCAGGGCAGAAAAGAAAACUGGAAACUUCUGAAGCUGGCUUUUACAGCAAUGCCAGCAUCCUGAGUAAUUUCAUCCACAGGGUUAAGAUCAGCACAGAUGGAGCCCAGAGUCACUCAUAACAUAUUGGGUCCACUCUAUCUCCCCAUGUUGUGUGCUGCAGUACAAAAAGCAGAGGACCAGCAGAUUUUCCACAGAGAUCUACUGUAUCCCAUUGUUGCACUAUGUGUGCAGUUAGCAGCAGCCUUGCACAAGGCAGCUGAAGGAUACUGACUCAACAAUUAGUUGGCUGCCUGGCUUCUCUUGAGUAAGCAACAGUGUCUAAAGAAAACACUUGGAAGAGCUCAGAAAGAUUACUGUGAAGGAAAGCAUCAUAUGCAAUAUGAUUCUUCUUACCCACUGCAAAAAAGCAAUGAACUCAAACCUUUAGAAAUGCAAGUCAUUUUUCUUUAGAAGGCUGCAGGAAAAGCAGUGUUUUUAGAGGAAAUGUGAAAAAGGAAGCUGGCAAAACUCAUAAUAUGCCCAAUUCUGUUAACACAUCAUAUAAGAAAUAUGAAGAGAAAUUGACUAUCUUACACAGCAAUCAGGUUAUAUUUUAUUAUGUCCUGUACAAAAUAUAGCUAACUGUACUCACUAAAAAAAGUAGUUUUGUUAUGAAAACUUUAUUAGUGCUUUGGCUUGUAUAGACUUCUGGCUGGAACAUCUACCUCAACCCACAGAAUAAUUGGGGUUGGAAGAGACCUCUGGAGAUCCUCCAGGCCAACCUCCUCCUAAUGCAUGUUCCCUAGAGUAGGUUGCAUAGGAAAACAUUGAGGUAGGUCUUGAGUAUCUGCAGAGUAGACUCCACAGACUCUCUAGGCAACUUACUCCAGUAAUCUGUCACUCUCAAAGUAAAAGACUUUUUCUCAUGUUCAUGGUUUGUUAUUUGUGUUUCAGUUUGUGCCCAUUGCUCCUUGUUCUCUUGUGGACCACCACUGAAAAGAAUCUGACCCCAUUUUCAUGGCUCCGGUCUCAUAGUUAUUUGUAGGCAUUGAUGAUAAGAAUCCUCUCCGCCUUCUCUUGUCCAGGCUGAAUAACCCCAGGGCUCUCCACCUUUCCUCAUAAGGGAGAUGCUCCAGGCUUAAAUCAAUCCACUGGACUCUAGAAGUUCCUCAUCUUGAACUGUGUAACACAGAACUGAACAUAAUGAUUGAGAUGUGGCCUCAUCAGGGCACAGUAGAUGGGGAGGAUAACCUCCGUU
Molecule: long non-coding RNA, 1546 nt
Filed under: Phasianus colchicus (ring-necked pheasant)
Lineage: Eukaryota; Metazoa; Chordata; Aves; Galliformes; Phasianidae
Description: lncRNA (ENSPCLG00000004250.1)
Source: RNAcentral